Molecule: long non-coding RNA, 4729 nt
Organism: Cyanistes caeruleus (blue tit)
Lineage: Eukaryota; Metazoa; Chordata; Aves; Passeriformes; Paridae
Source: RefSeq, a predicted model, not a curated record
UGAGGCAGUUUGUCUAAGGGAAGAUGGGUCACUGAUGUGCUGGGAAUUCAGUACACAUACCCAGAGUGAGGCAUGACUAUGGAGCUCCUCUGCUUUAUUGCACAAUCCCAGGCAGCUAGAAUACCUCUAGCGGGACAGACAAAUUUACCAAGAUCAGAGGUUUAGCAACUGUACACCCAAAAGCUCACCUCCUCCACCUCAGCAAAGAUUCCUGGUGUGUCCACAAAUGGGGGAAAUGUUUUGAGUUGUUAUCCUUUAACAGUUCAGUCUCUCACAGGGAUAGACACUCAUAGAAGAAGGUAGUAAAGGGCAGCAGGGGCUGAGUUACAAGUCAGCUUGGAGAGCUAAGCCUACCUGCGGCUCUGACAAGUGAACCUGCACUACUGGAAGUGGUUUAGGAACAUAAGAAUUCCCAGCCCAUCAGGAGGAGAGCUUAAUAGAAGGCAGGCGUUGUGGCACUGCAGCAGAGUGAGCAGCACACAGCCUCCCCCAGGACCAGCCCCCCAGCUCUCCACCAUCUGUGCAGCUCUGACUUCCACAGUUAGUGGGUUUUGAUAGAUGUUGUUCAGUUGAUUGUUUUACCCCCCGCUUUUUUUUGUUGUUGUUUUGGUAUUUUGUUUUGUUUUGAGGUAUUCUCUGAGGCUCACUAGAGAUUUAAGUAACCCAAUAGAGGUGAUAGGAUGUUUUUCUCAGAAGAGAAACCAAAAUGAGUCCAUUACCAGCAAGCUAUUGCAAAUGUGGAUGGAAUUUAGAGAAUAUGUCAUCACCCAAAAAGAAGACUCUCAGCAUCAGCCAGUCCACCUAGUGUAUUUUAUCAGUAAUACUCUGUGUGUGGUAGUGCUUAUCUGUAUGGUAGCUACUACAUUUAAAAACUUGACCUAUUUUCUGUGACUAGACAGCAUCUGCAUUUGAGUGAAUUUGGGGUAUGGUGUAAAUUUACAAUUAUUUACAAACAGGGCCUUGCUUUUUAACAGUGAAUACUCUGUCUACAUUUCUAACCUGGAGCUGUUUUUUUUCAGUGGUAGAUUUUCUAUCUUUUCAACACUGGUUUAACCAAAAGACUUUUUUUUUUUUUAUUAAGUCUGUUUUUGUACAUCAGCUUUUCAUCAGGAAAAGAGUCAUUCAUGCUCAAGAUCACGUUCCUGUUACACAAAACUGCUAGUUGACAUUAUCAACACCCUUAUUAACUAAUUCUUAAAGCAAGGUUUGAGAUCAUUAUCUCCUUACUGAGCUGCUCAUGUGGAAGCAAAGGCAGACGGAAUGUACAAUAUUCCUCUAGGCCACAAAGAAAUCAUUAGUAGAAAACAGAUUAAAAUCUUGAUUUCUUGUCAAUUAUUUAGAUGACAGUGAUUUUUAGAUGACAAUUAUUUAGAUGAUUAUUUAGCCUUUUCCUUGCUAACUUCCCCUGUUGUUUAGCACACUAAUACAACACAGUGCUUCUUAGAACACUCAAGUUUUGGUCCAGUGUUUCCAGUAACUACAGUAAUAAUGGCUGAACCCUCUUGGGUUUAGUGCAGAGUCCAAAAGAAGAACUGAAAUACAGAUAAAGCACAGCUCUAGGAAUGGGGCUUGGUUUUGAAACUUUGAAAGGUGAGGCUACCCAAACAGAUCACUAGGUAGUAGCUAACUAACCUCUUCCAGCUUACUGGAAAAGAAACCUCACAGUUGUUUCAUAACCUUAGCAAAUCUGUCGUAUUUUACAGAAAUAAGGCUAAAUUUCUCCCUUUUAAUUUGAAUCCUGAAUUUCUUCUAGGAGAAAUGUUAACUUUUUCUACAGGAAAAUAUCUGUGAAACUCUACAAUAUGGUAUAUAGGUUUUUUGGGGUUUUUUUCAGUUUUUAUUAAAAAAGAACCAACAACUUUUAGGUCUUGGCUACUUUUUUACUAUUAAAUAUGUCUUGGCACUUGUCUAGAUUAUGGAGUAAUCACUUGCACAACAUCAUCCUUUAAAUAGGUCAGCCAAAACUCUACAUCCAAAUACACUCUAAGCAUUGCUCAGAUCUCAGACUUUUACAGUUGGGUUCUGUCUCUCUAAUGGUCUGAAUCAAAAUUCUGGAUACAUCCAAAUACCCUGAAGCAAGGGUAUUGCAAAUGCAGAUCCAGCGUGUCUGGCACAAGUCUUUCAUUUUCAGGCUUCUUUUUUUUUUUAUUCUCCUCUUCCCCACCCCCGUCUCCUCCUUUUAAAUUAGGGCAAAAGCACAUUGUUAUUUCAAGAAAUCUAGAAGAGACUAUUUUCCAGGUUGGUUGAUAUUCAUAUGUGAAAAAUGAUAAAGUGAUUAACUUUCAAUUCAUCUUGAGUAAAACCCACAGAGAAGAGUAAAAACAUGGAAAUUCAGCACAUAUGUUUUAUAAAGAAAACCUAUUGUCCUCUCUGGGAGGUUUUAUUUCCCGAGCCUUUUAGGCAACACUUCUUUGGCCCAUAAAUCAGUAUGAAGGAGGUCCUGGUGCUCAAGCCUCUGCUACUAGCUACAGCUGCAAAAGGGUUAUAUGUGUAGUAGGAUAGGCCCCAAAAGUCUGGAAGAGUCUUCUCAGGACAUUACAGUAGUUGUGAGUAUUUGAGGUAAUCACAUUAUAUACAAUACUUAUUGUUUUAUUGUGGCUGAUACUUGGCUUUCUAUCCUUAAAGCAGAGUCAGAACACUAAUUAAUCCUGAACCAUCACAGUGACACAUUUUCCAGAGGAUUUGCAAACUGAGACUGAUUUUUCCAUGGUUUUUUAAUGUCUCCCCUUUUCUUGAUUUCUUUUUUGGCUCUAUGCUGUUGCCACAGACAAGCAUAGGAUAAGAUCUCAGUAUUUGUUACGUCUUGCCCUCCAGGAUAUAAUUUUUCCUAACUAUCUUUAAUUGAGUGGAAUUAACUUUCCUUUAUAAGUCUACAAAAUAUAAGGUGUGCUCAGAUGCCUAAAUACAAGUAUUAGCAUUGUGUUAACCCACUCUACUUUUGUGACUGUUCUGUCUAGAACUGCAUACCAGAGCUUGGUUUUGGCAUACUGGAGCCUGUCUUCUAGCUGCGGGUGCUUAUAUUCCAGCUCUUCCUUCAUAAAAAAAUUAACUUAAUAUUUACAAAUUAUUUUGUGCAUAAUGACUAAUGGGAUUUAUAGAUACUUUCUUCUAUUCUUGCCUUUUUAAUCAUCUGCUGAUGAUUAAAAUUCACUUAAAUUUGCUGGUUUGGCAUUUCUAUCUCUCUCUAUCAUUCUUGCAAUGACAGUUUCAAUGCCCCAUUCAUCUCACAAGUGCACUUUUACACGUUGUCUCAGAUUUCAUCUGCACCUUUUCCUCCACUGUGCCUUGGUUUGUCCUCACCAUUGUGUCCCUCAGGCCAAGAAAUUCAGACUACAAUGGCAGCUUUACUUCCGUAAAGACUAGAUUUGGGAAAUAAAAAAUAUAUUAUCCCAAGCUGGUCACAUGCCUUCUCUAACCACCAGCAGUCUCAGUACUUUAUCUUGUCUUUCAUCUUUUAUUAAUUCACAACUUCUACUUCCCUUUUUUUGUCUCAUCCCAUCCAAAUUCAGAGGGGGAGAGGUCUGUGCCAAAGACAGCUUUCUCCCUCAGCUCUAUCUCUAGCACAAGUGUGGGUGCUAGUAAAUGACUAAAAUCUCUUCAGGCAGACGGAAGGCACAGUGCUGCCCCAAGGACUUCACUGACUAAAGGCUUCAACUGUUUUGCUAGCUGGGUCAUGCUGCUCUUCCACAUGGCUCAGCACCCUCUUUGACAUCUGUUGCGGAGGGGUAACUUGGAUAAGGAUUGACCUUUCCAUCUCAUUGCAGAGUUAAAGCUGGGGUAGCACUUGCAUACUAGGACAAUGUCUGAAAGUCCUCCUGAGGACUCACUCCACGUACUAAGUACUGCACUAGAGUAGUCCUCAUCCCAAAUAAGUCAGUCUUUGGUUUUUUUUUUUCAUUUAAUUUUUAUUUUAGCCCAAAUAACAAUAUUAGGACACACUGUGCUUGGGACCAUGAGAAAGGAGGUGCCUGUUUUACGUUCCUAAGCUGUAAACACUGACUGCAAGUUUUGCUGCUUUUUUUUCAAGUCCUGGUUACUAUUGACACGAUUAGCUUGUUGUUUUAUAAUAGCACCCAGAUGUCCCAAUCAGGGUCCUGCUGUGUUCAAUAUCAUAGAAAUAUAUAAGAAGAAACAGGCUAUUCUCUGGAGAACUUAAAAUUUUAUUUAGGAAAUAAAUAUAGUAUUGUAAAAAAGGUGAGAUAGGCAUCAGGGUGACUGGUUGCUCUAGGCUGGUACUGGUCACUGAAGACUAGUGCUACAUCAUGCACUAGGACUUCUAUGUAUUGGAGAGCACUGGUCACUGUCCCUCUGUGGCUCUGUCAUCAGCCAUCAGUUGGUUUCAGGAGCAAGUCCUGAAACAGAACUUGAAGCCAAUAAGAUGAAUUUAGUAGACAAAACCAUGCAGACUGAGGGUGGGGCAUGUGGCUUGGUUUGGUUAUUUUCUUUAUUGUCCUGACAAGGGGACAGCAAAUCUCUGACAAGGUAAUUCUGGGUAGACUUGUGGAAUAAAAGCUGCAGAAAAGUACUAAAGGGGAAAAAAGGCUCCCUCAUGCAGCAGUGAAGGGACAAAGUUCAGAUGGGGGAUGGUCAGAUCUCAGUGAGGAAAUGGUGUAAUAAAGGCUGGAACUGAAAGAAUGAAGGAGACAAAAGGGAUUUCAAAAUGUUAGGUAUUUUUAUUUCAUAAAAUGAUAAUUUCCCUUUGGAUCUGAAACACCUAUCUUUCUAUUUU